RNAcentral lists this long non-coding RNA (2002 nucleotides) under Oryctolagus cuniculus (rabbit). RNAcentral's name for it is "lncRNA (ENSOCUG00000037799.1)". The record is from RNAcentral. Lineage: Eukaryota; Metazoa; Chordata; Mammalia; Lagomorpha; Leporidae.
AGGCAGUGGAGUUGAAUGUGUACCCUGGGUGGAAACCAUGCGGAGAGCCUCUGCUAGCAAGGAAGAGCCCGUGUCCCGCAUGCCCGGGAUGAAAGGCUGCUGCAGCGGGGAGUCCAUCUCCAUGGAAAGCGGGGACGGUGGUGAAGGUGCCCAAGUCCUGGCAAAGGACAACAGCGCUCUGAGUGUAAGACUCCUCCCCGCCUCCCUGCCUCUCCUGCAUGCCCCUCCUCCUCCUCGCGGGGGCUAGCGCCGUGAGGACCCGCCUCCUCACGGCACCCCGAGUGGCUCUAGGCCCCCAUCCCACCCCGCAGGCCCCAAUCAUCUCCUUAGCGAAGCUUCUGCUUCUGGUUUUAGUAAUGAGGCGCUCCUGCUGGGACCCCAAUGGUCCCGGUGGGAGAGCUGGGGGUGGGGGACACGCUGGGGCCCCUUCCCCGCCCCCACUGCUGACUCUGAGGGUGCCUCGCCCGCCCCCUUCCAGAUCUCGGGGCUCUUCCAGCUGGACGACGGUUAUGAAACCUGCACCUGCCCGGCAGUUCUCCCGGAGAGCCCCCGAGGGGAGAGGGAAGAACGCGACGGGGCGGACAGGGCCGCGAGCAGCACCGAGGAGCGCGCUGCCCCGUGCCCGGGCGUGCGGGCUGCUCCUGCGGGGGAGACGACUGGUUUCCCCGCCAAGGCCGAGCAGGCGAGGGCAGGACGCCGGAGGCCCUCCUCCCUUGACCACUGACCCUCGCCGCCCACUGGCCUGGCGAGCGCCUUUUGUGUCCAGGGGCCGCGGGCGGAGGUGCCCCGGGCGGCGCCCGGGCUUAAGCAGAACGCGGCCUCGCGGGUCCUUGCGGCUGCGGGCCUGGCGACCGGCAGGGGGCGCCCGAGGGCCGCGCUGGGGUCUCCCGGGCCGGGAACCCGGAGCUUCGAGAAGGCGGCUGAAGACUGCAAGGCUGGAGCCCGCUGAACCUGAGCCCCCGAGGACGCAGCGCCCGGCCCCGGGGGCUCCGCGCUUCUUACAGACAGCGCUGUUGUGCUCAUCGCAGGUGCUCAGCAGCACCCCUGGCCUCUCCACUAGGGGCCAGCACGCGCCACCUCCGCUCCUCCAGCAUCGUAAAUGCCUUCGGACAGGGCCCAGGGUGCCCGGGCGUCCGCUAGGAAUGGGCUGAGAAUCGCUUCGCCCGACCCGAGCCGCGGAGCAGGCACGCCCGCGCUCACGUGGCAUUGGUGGCGGUCCCAGGACUGGCGGGUUUCAGGGACGGCUGGUCGCAGGUUGCUUCGGAGGGGGUUUGCCAUUUGCAUCUAGAUUUCUUAGUCUUUGAAUUCAUUAAGUUAUUUUAUUUCCAUCUUUCUAGUUAAUUUUUUGAUAGCUUCAGUCACCUGUUGAUGCUUAUUUUACUUUCAAGAUCAUUCGGUUUUCGAGUUAUUUAUUUUCAGUUAUAGCUAUUUUCAGAGUUACAGGUUUUCAAACUGGCUUAGAAGUAUUUAUUUUCAAUUAUUCUUAUGAUUAUUAACAUCUGUGUUGUUUCUUAGCCUUCGGUUCCUGGCGUCGUUGAGUUCUAAUUUUUACAGUUAUUAUUAAAAAACACUGGAAGUUUUUGAACGACUUGAGUUAUUUACUUUCAGGGUGAAAUGGUUUUAUUUAGGCUUUUUCCUAGUUAUUUAGUUUUGCAGUUGCUUAUGUUCAUAGGAUUUUUUCCCAGUUAUUUUCUGAGUUUACUUUUAUACUAUGGCUCUUAAUUAAUUUUCAGCUGUUUCCUUUUUGAAUAUUAUAUUUUUAGACGUUUUAUCCUUGGUGCUGUUGAUAUCUUUAGUGUUUAUUUUCAGUUGCUUAUUCUCCUUUUUUUUUUUUUGUUCUGUCUUAUUUUUACAUAUUUCGUUCUCAGAAGUACUUGGAAUUAGAAUUAUUUCACCUGCCAGUCAGGAUUGAAGCAGGAGAGACAGUGCACCUGUUGUUUUAACAGAGAACUUGACAUAAAGAAGCGCAGCUGCUGCGGAACAAGAGUGUGGCCGGGCACAG